This 1358-nucleotide long non-coding RNA is filed under the name Gallus gallus (chicken). RNAcentral's name for it is "lncRNA (ENSGALG00010008961.1)". Lineage: Eukaryota; Metazoa; Chordata; Aves; Galliformes; Phasianidae. The record is from RNAcentral.
CCCAGAGGCAAUUCAUACUUUUUCAACUCAUGUAUUUCUUUCCAGCUGUGACCCUUGCAAUUAGGUGGAGGUAGAGCUGCUGGGGAAUCAGAUAGAAGGAUUGAGAAACCCUGUGGAGAAAGCAAGAAAUUAUCUAUGUGUGCCAAAAAGAGGUGAUCAGAGAGCUGCAAUUAUGAAGUUAAUGGAGUAGUCAAAUACUACAACGUUGAAUGUACCCAAGAACCUGCAAACCUAUGCUGUCUGCCUAAGCAAUCUGCAUUAUGUGCUGGCAGCUAUGGCUCCUGUGGAAUUUAUGUUCUGAGCACUGAGGAAGAGCAUCUCCCCCUGAAGUCAUCUAGCACUGAUUUCACAUUCUGGCUAUCCUGUAUUUGCUGUAAUUGGAAAAAUGUUUAAUUUUUUCAAAGUUUUCUUGAUAAAAUAUUCACAGAGGAAAUGCAGCAUUGUCUCUUUUUCAGGGAACAUGUCCUCUUGUGUUUCGAUUUCCACGAGAAUUGCAGGAAAGGAGUUCUUGUAAUAGCUGCUCUUGCUUAUGCCUGUAGGAGUGGGAAGGAGGACAUCAACUGGUAGCAUAAGCCCAGACACCUGAGUACCAUACCAUUCUCCUCUGAGAUUCUGGUACUGAAUCUCAUGAAGAUAAAAUCCCAGAAGAUCCUGCUGAAAGAAAGAUGAGAAACAAGUCACCUUUGACCAGAAAUGGAAAAAUUCAGUAUGGAAGAUAAUGGUUCAACGGAAAAAAUCUGUGUGCUGUCACUGCCAUGACUUUGACAACAAAAUUUAUGACUUUUAGGGUUGUUUUUUCUUGAACCUUUUUUUCACUAAGUUGUUGGAGAAAACUUUUUGAUUGAAUUGGGCCAGAUUUAAUUUAGUCAGAAAGCAAAAUGUCUUUUUUUUCUGUGGAGAGUUCUGAUAUCAUAAAAUGUUUCUCAAUCAAAAUGAACUAAAAGUGAAAAUCUUACAGCUUUGUCAAAAAGCUGAGAAUUUUUUACUUAACAAAUUAGUACUGUGGGUUGGUGCUGAUAUUGCUCUCCUGAGAGUUAGGGACUUCAGUGGCUGUGAAGACCAUAAAAUGUGGCUGAAGAUUCUUUGUCCUCACCUGAAGAACAGAAGAUUGGGAGUGGAUUUUGGCCCUGUUGUUCUUUCCUUGGAAAGGACUAUAGGAGAUGAUAAAGCUGGCAAGAAAAUUUGUGUCUGAGCCCUGGUAACCCAUUUCUGCUGGCAGAAUAAGGGGAUAGAAACAAUAUCAGACCUUGUGGGAUAAGGGGAAGAAGGUUGGAAGAAAGGAAUAAAAAUUGUGCUGGAGUCCAUGUUCCAGCACAGACCACUACCUUAUUUGCCUCCAGUUUGUCUCUAUGACUGGC